RNAcentral lists this ribosomal RNA (272 nucleotides) under uncultured archaeon. Its description in RNAcentral is "partial 16S ribosomal RNA". It matches the Rfam family "Archaeal small subunit ribosomal RNA", at positions 477 to 747 of the family's 1478-position model. The record is from RNAcentral.
CAGCGCCACGAAUGGCAAUCACGAUUAUUGGGCCUAAAGCGUCCGUAGCCUGUUUGAUAAGUCUUUUGUGAAACUGUUUAGCUCAACUAAACAACGUGCAGAAGAUACUGUCAGACUUGGAACCGGAGAGGGGUUAGAGGUAUUCUGGGGGGAGCGGUAAAAUGCUAUAAUCCUCGGAAGACCACCUGUGGCGAAGGCGUCUAACUAGAACGGUUUCGACGGUGAGGGACGAAAGCUAGGGGAGCGAACCGGAUUAGAUACCCGAGUAGUCC